AUUGAACGCUGGCGGCAGGCCUAACACAUGCAAGUCGAACGAGUGGCGGACGGGUGAGUAAUGUCUGGGAAACUGCCCGAUGUAGGGGGAUAACUACUGGAAACGGUAGCUAAUACCGCAUACCCUCGUCUGUGCCCAGAUGGGAUUAGCUAGUAGGUGGGGUAACGGCUCACCUAGGCGACGAUCCCUAGCUGGUCUGAGAGGAGUACCAGCCAAAAUGGAACUGAGAAACGGUCCAGACUCCUACGGGAGGCAGGAGUGGGGAAUAGUGGACAAUGGGCGCAAGCCUGAUGCAGCCAUGCCGCGUGUAUGAAGAAGGCCUUCGGGUUGUAAAGUACUUUCAGCGAGGAGGCGUUACUCGCAGAAGAAGCACCGGCUAACUCCGUGCCAGCAGCCGCGGUAAUAC
RNAcentral lists this ribosomal RNA (406 nucleotides) under uncultured bacterium. Its description in RNAcentral is "partial 16S ribosomal RNA". It matches the Rfam family "Bacterial small subunit ribosomal RNA", at positions 30 to 526 of the family's 1533-position model. The record is from RNAcentral.